This 466-nucleotide ribosomal RNA is filed under the name uncultured bacterium. RNAcentral's name for it is "bacterial SSU rRNA". It matches the Rfam family "Bacterial small subunit ribosomal RNA", at positions 45 to 522 of the family's 1533-position model. The record is from RNAcentral.
UGGAUUAGGCAUGCAAGUCGAGCGGAAAGGCCCCGCAAGGGGUGCUCGAGCGGCGUAAGGGACAGUAAUGUGUAGGUACGUACCCCUGGGUCUAGGAUAGCUGCGGGAAACUGCAAUUAAUACUAGAUGAUGUCUUCGGACCAAAGGUGUGAUUCCACCCAGGGAGCGGCCUACAUCCUAUUAGCUAGUUGGUGAGGUGACGGCUCACCAAGGCGAAGAUGGGUAGCAGGUGUGAGAGCACGACCUGCGUCACUGGGACUGAGACACUGCCCAGACACCUACGGGUGGCUGCAGUCGAGAAUCUUCGGCAAUGGGCGAAAGCCUGACCGAGCGACGCCGCGUGCGGGAUGAAGGCCUUCGGGUUGUAAACCGCUGUCGAGGGGGAGCAACUUCCAUAGAGUUAUCUUUAUGGAUUGAGUGAUCCCUGGAGGAAGGACGGGCUAAGUUCGUGCCAGCAGCCGCGGUA